UACAGAGGGGGCAAGCGUUGUUCGGAAUUACUGGGCGUAAAGGGCGCGUAGGCGGCCGCUCAAGUCGGGGGUGAAAUCUUUCAGCUUAACUGGAAAAUAGCCUCCGAUACUGGGUGGCUGGAGGGAGAUAGGGGUGCGCGGAACUUCCGGUGGAGCGGUGAAAUGCGUAGAUAUCGGAAGGAACGCCGGUGGCGAAAGCGGCGCACUGGAUCUCCACUGACGCUGAGGCGCGAAAGCCAGGGGAGCAAACGGG
This 253-nucleotide ribosomal RNA is filed under the name uncultured bacterium. RNAcentral's name for it is "partial 16S ribosomal RNA". It matches the Rfam family "Bacterial small subunit ribosomal RNA", at positions 524 to 776 of the family's 1533-position model. The record is from RNAcentral.